AAUAUUGGACAAUGGGCGAAAGCCUGAUCCAGCCAUGCCGCGUGUGUGAAGAAGGUCUUCGGAUUGUAAAGCACUUUAAGUUGGGAGGAAGGGGUUGAAGCUAAUACCUUCAAUCUUUGACGUUACCAACAGAAUAAGCACCGGCUAACUCUGUGCCAGCAGCCGCGGUAAUACAGUGGGUGCAAGCGUUGAUCGGAAUUACUGGGCGUAAAGCGCGCGUAGGUGGUUCAGUAAGAUGGAAGUGAAAUCCCCGGGCUUAACCUGGGAACUGCAUUUUUAACUGCCGAGCUAGAGUAUGUCAGAGGGGGGUAGAAUUCCACGUGUAGCAGUGAAAUGCGUAGAUAUAGGAAGGAACACCAGUGGCGAAGGCGACCACCUGGGCUAAUACUGACACUGAGGUGCGAAAGCGUGGGGAGCAAACAGG
This 424-nucleotide ribosomal RNA is filed under the name uncultured bacterium. RNAcentral's name for it is "partial 16S ribosomal RNA". It matches the Rfam family "Bacterial small subunit ribosomal RNA", at positions 360 to 776 of the family's 1533-position model. The record is from RNAcentral.